Molecule: ribosomal RNA, 479 nt
Filed under: uncultured Sphingobacteriales bacterium
Lineage: Bacteria; Pseudomonadati; Bacteroidota; Sphingobacteriia; Sphingobacteriales
Description: bacterial SSU rRNA
Rfam family: Bacterial small subunit ribosomal RNA
Source: RNAcentral
CUUAAGGAAUUGACGGGGCCCGCACAAGCGGUGGAACAUGUGGUUUAAUUCGAUGAUACGCGAGGAACCUUACCUGGGCUUAAAUGUAGAGUGCAUUUUUUUAGAGAUAGAAAUUCCCUUCGGGGCUUUCUGCAAGGUGCUGCAUGGUUGUCGUCAGCUCGUGCCGUGAGGUGUCGGGUUAAGUCCCAUAACGAGCGCAACCCUUAUCGUUAGUUGCCAUCUGGUAAUGCAGGGGACUCUAGCGAAACUGCCACGUAAGGUGAGAGGAAGUGGGGAUGACGUCAAAUCAGCACGGCCCUUAUGUCCAGGGCUACACACGUGUUACAAUGGUCGGUACAGAGGGCAGCUACCUGGUGACAGGAUGCUAAUCUCGAAAACCGGUCUCAGUUCGGAUCGAAGUCUGCAACUCGACUUCGUGAAGCUGGAUUCGCUAGUAAUCGCGCACCAGCUAUGGCGCGGUGAAUACGUUCCCGGGCCUU